Cimex lectularius (bed bug) is the source of this 1894-nucleotide long non-coding RNA. RefSeq lists it as uncharacterized. The transcript has 5 exons. The record is from RefSeq and is a predicted model, not a curated record. NCBI's taxonomy places the organism in Eukaryota, Metazoa, Arthropoda, Insecta, Hemiptera, Cimicidae.
GCAAUACAGCAUACUAAUAAAAUCUCAAAUAUGCAAUAUAUUAUAUGCAGUAAUAAAACCUGAAAUAUGCAGUAUAUUAUAUGCACUAAUAAAACCUCAAAUAAGUGAUAUAACGUACGCUAAUAAAAUUCAAAUAUGUACAAUAUAGCACACAAAUAAAACAUCAAAUAUGCAAUGUUAUAUACACUAAUAAAACUCAAAUAUGGAAUAUAGCACACUAAUAAAAUUUUAAAUAUGCAAUACAAUAUACACUAAUAAAACUCAAAUAUGUACAAUAUAGCACACAAAUAAAACAUCAAAUAUGCCAUAUAAUAUGCACUAAUUAAACCUCAAAUAUGCAAUAUGAUAUUAACUAAUCAAACUCAAAUAUGAUAUAAUAUUCGCUAAUAAAACUCAAAUAUGAUAUAAUAUUCGCUAAUAAAACUCAAAUAUGCAGUAUAGCACAAAUAAAUCUCAAAUAAGCGAUAUAAUAUACACUUCUAAAACUCAAAUAUGCAAUAUAGCACACAAAUAAAACUGAAAUAUGCAAUAUAGCACACUACUAAAAUUUCAAAUGUGCAAUUUAAUACGAACUAAUAAAACUCAAAUAUGCAAUAUAGUAUGCACUAAUUUGGCUUUGGAUUUAUAUAAGCUCAAAUUUUGACAUAUGUUUACAUACAUACACAUGUACAAAGGGUAGCCUAUCGCUUUCUCAGUCCACCAGUAAGUCUAGCUUUGUAACUUUCAAUAAAUUGCCGGCAGGCGUUGAGAAUCAACCAACCCAGGUGUUGGCAGUAUGGUUGCAGACUUCAGUCUUAUCCGUCCUACGACUGCGGUUGGGCUCCAGAUGCAGUCAACUGCUAGGUCAAAUCUGCACCCAACACUUGCAGCUCCUGGACAAAACUCACUCAUAUUCACAUUUAUUCUUAAAUACAUUCUAUAUGCACUAAUAAAACAUCAAAUAUGCAAUAUUUUGUAUACCAUAAUAAAACCUGAAAUACACAAUAUUCUAUUACCACUAAUAAAACCUCAAAUAUGCAUUAUAAUAUGUAUUCAUUUGGUUUUGAGUUAUGUAAGCUCAAAUCAGCACAUGUGCCUACAUAUAUAUACACACACAUGUACAGAAUGGAGCCUACCACUUCCAGUCCACCAUCAAUUCUAGCUUUUAUAGGUUGCAAUAAAUUGCCAGCAAGCCUCGAGAAUCAACCAAACUGAGUGUUGGAAGUACCAGAGUCAAAGACUUUAGCACAAUAGAAAGAAUCAAUAAAUGCUAAUCAAAUUGGAUUUAUUAAUUACACUGCAAUAAACUUCUGUUGUCCAGAGAUGUUUCGUGCUAAUUUGGUCCAGGCUGUCUGGGGUAUUUUGCAUUAUUCCUUAUGAUCUUUUCCAUCAACUGACUGGACACUUUAUUUCAAGGCUUUUUCUAAUUAAAAAGUCAUGAGUUUCAAGCAGCGAGGCAGCAGAAACAGGCCCUAAUUUGUGGAAUAAACAAGAACCACAUUAAAGAACUGGAAUCUUGGGUCACUAGGAACUGACAGUUGCGCUGGUCUACAAUGGAUAUCACACAAACUGAAGAUGGCAAAAUGCUGACACACUGAUGUACCAACCAGCAAGGAUAGGCAGGACAAGAGUAAUUACAAAUACCAGUAACAAAAAGGUGCCCCCCCGGAGGACAAAAUAGGGGGGGGAGGCAACUUACAACAGCCUGAUGAUGGACAGAGCCCCUAAAUCCAUUGCAGGUUUUGUGCUGUUCGACUCAAGAGGUCAAACAUUAGUAUCCGAUUCAGUUGAAGGGAGAAGAUGAGUGUCAAACACUGAUUUGCUUAUGUUCUGCAUUCCUUACUGAAAUAUUUCUUUCUUUCUUUAAUCUAUUCAUUAUUGUUUGUUGAUUACUUGUUUAAAAAAAAUAUAUGUA